GCACCCAGAGGUUGCAGUAAGUCUGGAUGCCACAUCAAACUGUUUGUGGUACUUCUAAACUUCGUGGAAGAGCCCUGUUUCAUAAAUCUGAGACAGCCUUGGUCUGAGGGAGCAAAGACAGAGAAUUCACGUGCUGCCCAGGCAUAGCCACAUAGCAGGUGGACAUCCCUGGACACUUUUCUGACCCUCAUUGGAUUUUCCUGGAAGUACGGAGAGUUACAUCCAGAGAACUCUGAACAUUUUGGAAGGACCCCAAUCCUGCAAACAAUGAAUGGCAAUAAAUCCUGGGACUGGAAAGGGGCUUCUCAACCCCAAGGCAACCAUAAAGUCCUAUACAAAGAAAGAUACAGCAGUGUGAAAGAGGCCUGGAUGAAAAAACAAAGACAGAGCCAGUGAGCCAGAGCCAGAGCCAGAGGACAAGAGAGAAAGGCAGAGAAUGGAAAACACAGACAGAGAAGGCAGAUGCGUAGAGAGACAGAGAUUCAAUGAGAAAAUAAGGAAGGAAGAAAGAAAGAAAACAAAAACGUUCUCAGCACUACAACUUCUGCCUUGUUCUGUUCCAGAACAGUAUGAGCUCAGUACUUUUUCAGACUCUCAAUUUUCUACAACUAAUAAUUUGCUCUUUCAGUUAGUGGCAAAGGCUUAACGACAAAGGUUCAUCUUUAAUAUUAGAGAGGCACUUUUAAAAUUUAUGAUGCUAAGCCUUUUGUUCUGGAUAUGGUAUGUUGCACAGGUCUAGGGACUGGGAUUUCAGAUGUCUAUUCCGUACCCUUAUUCUUUUAUUUAUUAAAUCUUUUAGUGUGUA
RNAcentral lists this long non-coding RNA (805 nucleotides) under Homo sapiens (human). Its description in RNAcentral is "HSALNT0336666". The record is from RNAcentral. Lineage: Eukaryota; Metazoa; Chordata; Mammalia; Primates; Hominidae.